This 159-nucleotide unclassified non-coding RNA is filed under the name soil metagenome. RNAcentral's name for it is "partial internal transcribed spacer 1". The record is from RNAcentral.
CAGAGUUGCAAGACUCCCUAAACCAUUGUGAACCUACCUUCUACCGUUGCUUCGGCGGGCGGGCCCAGCGCCCCCCCGGCCCCCCGCGGGCGCCCGCCGGAGGAUACCCGAACUCUUGACAUUAGUGGCCUCUCUGAGUAUUCUUUACUGAAUAAGUCA